RNAcentral lists this ribosomal RNA (504 nucleotides) under uncultured bacterium. Its description in RNAcentral is "partial 16S ribosomal RNA". It matches the Rfam family "Bacterial small subunit ribosomal RNA", at positions 29 to 523 of the family's 1533-position model. The record is from RNAcentral.
AUUGAACGCCGGCGGCAGGCCUAACACAUGCAAGUCGAACGGUAGCACAGAGAGCUUGCUCUCGGGUGACGAGUGGCGGACGGGUGAGUAAUGUCUGGGAAACUGCCCGAUGGAGGGGGAUAACUACUGGAAACGGUAGCUAAUACCGCAUAACGUCACGAGACCAAAGUGGGGGACCUUCGGGCCUCACACCAUCGGAUGUGCCCAGAUGGGAUUAGCUAGUAGGUGGGGUAAUGGCUCACCUAGGCGACGAUCCCUAGCUGGUCUGAGAGGAUGACCAGCCACACUGAAACUGAGACACGGUCCAGACUCCUACGGGAGGCAGCAGUGGGGAAUAUUGCACAAUGGGCGCAAGCCUGAUGCAGCCAUGCCGCGUGUAUGAAGAAGGCCUUCGGGUUGUAAAGUACUUUCAGCGGGGAGGAAGGCGGUGAGGUUAAUAACCUCGCCGAUUGACGUUACCCGCAGAAGAAGCACCGGCUAACUCCGUGCCAGCAGCCGCGGUAA